RNAcentral lists this transfer RNA (77 nucleotides) under archaeon. RNAcentral's name for it is "tRNA-Pro". It matches the Rfam family "tRNA". Rfam says of the family: Transfer RNA (tRNA) molecules are approximately 80 nucleotides in length. Their secondary structure includes four short double-helical elements and three loops (D, anti-codon, and T loops). RNAcentral also lists the same sequence under 2 other names. The record is from RNAcentral.
GGGGCCUUGGGGUAGCUUGGUUAUCCUUAGAGCUUUGGGAGCUUUGGACCCCGGUUCAAAUCCGGGAGGCCCCACCA